UUGUAAAAUGAUGUUGCCCUCAAAAAAUGACUUGCUUUGCAAAAUACCUAUUGACAUCAGGUAAGAGAAUGCUUGUUUUUUUUUUAUAUACAGUCGUUUCUUUUUGUUGAGUCAGGGCACUUCUUGAUUGGCUAUAUUUUGUUCCACGUCAAUUCUUGUCAUCAUGACUCGGGAGAAGUCGGCUCUCCCCCAUACAUGAAGAUUUUUGGCCAUAAAUAUUGAACACGUUCAUUAUUUUGGAUUGUAGGCCCUGACCUGUUUCGGACCCUAAAAUCAGGACGAAUCCACUCUUAACACACAUCAGACCUAAGGACAGUGUCAUAUACUGCCCUGCAGUUCCAUUAUUGGAGCCGGGAGGGCGCUUUGCGUCCUCUCUCUCUCCCCCGUCCCCUCUCUGUUUUCAGCACCUGUCUCCAAUCAGCCUCAUCACCACCAGCUCCGUCAUCGCUCCCUGACGCCCGAAUACAAGUUGAAGCUUCCACAGAUUAAAGAUUAAAGAUUCGCCCAACCUUCUGUCUUGGAUAUCCCGGAAGCUUAUACUCGAGCAUAUCCUUUUGGACGAUUUCUACGCGGCUCACCUGGGGAAGCCUGGCAGGGCGCCGGGAGGCGUCCGUUGAGAGGGAGCACCUGUCUCCAAUCAGCCUCAUCACCACCGGUAUAUAAGCCUGCCUGUUCCAGGAAAUCCUCGCCAAAGUAUUGCAGUUACUUCCAGCGUGUUUUCCCAUGUGUUCCUGAUCCACGUCAUUCCUGCCGCCAAGCCAGCCGCCUGUCCUCACCACCGCCUGCCAACCCACCUAGGACCACCACCAUUUCCUUUCCUCAAUAAACUGUUCAUCAUUUUACAUCUGCCUCUGCCUGCUCUUGGAUCCAACUACUCCCCAUACGUGACAGACAGUCUGAUAGGAUAAUCUUAUAAGACAUAGGAUUGUAUGGCCUUUGAUGUGCUUGGGGCAAAAUUGCCACAGAAACAGGCCAGUUGUCUUAAUGUGUGGACCGAGCCCAAUAGGAUAAUUAUCAUUGACAGCACAGGACUAACUACUUGCAACAUGGCUAAUAAUGUCAAUGUCAAUGUUCUGUGUAAACACAUUCAAACAGAUAUAUAUAUUGGUUUCGGUUUGUCUUAUUUAGUUUUUAGC
Phyllopteryx taeniolatus (common seadragon) is the source of this 1136-nucleotide long non-coding RNA. RefSeq lists it as uncharacterized. NCBI's taxonomy places the organism in Eukaryota, Metazoa, Chordata, Actinopteri, Syngnathiformes, Syngnathidae. The record is from RefSeq and is a predicted model, not a curated record. The transcript is spliced from 4 exons.